GGAAUAUUGGACAAUGGGCGAAAGCCUGAUCCAGCAAUGCCGCGUGUGUGAAGAAGGCCUGCGGGUUGUGAAGCACUUUUAUCGGGAAAGAAAAUCACAGGACUAAUACUUCUGCGCCUUGCCGGUACCCGCAGAAUAAGCAUCGGCCAACUCCGUGCCCGCAGCCGCGGUAAUACGGAGGGUGCAAGCGUUAAUCGGAAUUACUGGGCGUAAAGCGAGUGUAGGUGGCUAUGUAAGUCGGAUGUGAAAUCCCCGGGCUCAACCUGGGAACUGCAUUCGAUACUGCAUGGCUAGAGUCUGAUAGAGGGAAGUGGAAUUCCAGGUGUAGCGGUGAAAUGCGUAGAUAUCUGGAAGAACACCAGUGGCGAAGGCGGCUUCCUGGAUCAAGACUGACACUGAGGCUCGAAAGCGUGGGGAGCAAA
RNAcentral lists this ribosomal RNA (422 nucleotides) under uncultured bacterium. RNAcentral's name for it is "bacterial SSU rRNA". It matches the Rfam family "Bacterial small subunit ribosomal RNA", at positions 358 to 772 of the family's 1533-position model. The record is from RNAcentral.